GAUGAACGCUGGCGGCGUGCCUAAUACAUGCAAGUCGAGCGAACGGACGAGAAGCUUGCUUUUCUGAUGUUAGCGGCGGACGGGUGAGUAACACGUGGGUAACCUACCUAUAAGACUGGGAUAACUUCGGGAAACCGGAGCUAAUACCGGAUAAUAUUUUGAACCGCAUGGUUCAAAAGUGAAAGACGGUCUUGCUGUCACUUAUAGAUGGAUCCGCGCUGCAUUAGCUAGUUGGUAAGGUAACGGCUUACCAAGGCAACGAUGCAUAGCCGACCUGAGAGGGUGAUCGGCCACACUGGAACUGAGACACGGUCCAGACUCCUACGGGAGGCAGCAGUAGGGAAUCUUCCGCAAAGGGCGAAAGCCUGACGGAGCAACGCCGCGUGAGUGAUGAAGGUCUUCGGAUCGUAAAACUCUGUUAUUAGGGAAGAACAUAUGUGUAAGUAACUGUGCACAUCUUGACGGUACCUAAUCAGAAAGCCACGGCUAACUACGUG
Molecule: ribosomal RNA, 497 nt
Filed under: uncultured bacterium
Lineage: Bacteria
Description: partial 16S ribosomal RNA
Rfam family: Bacterial small subunit ribosomal RNA
Source: RNAcentral